AAGUCGUAACAAGGUAACCGUAGGUGAACCUGCGGUUGGAUCAUUAAAAAAUACCUAGAGCAGUGCGAGCCUCCUUAAUUGGGGUGUCCUGCACUGUUUCUUUACACCUUGUGAAUUAUUCAUAUUGUCUCUUGUGGAAGUUCAGGCUGCGAUUGCUCAGGCGGUUGCAUUUUGAACACACCCUCCACAACUGAAUUCUAACCUAGUAAUACUCUAAACUGCCUUUAACUUUAAACCUAAAAAAUUUAAAAACAACUUUUGACAACGGAUCUCUAGGCUCUC
Molecule: unclassified non-coding RNA, 282 nt
Filed under: fungal sp.
Lineage: Eukaryota; Fungi
Also listed under: 1 other name
Description: partial internal transcribed spacer region
Rfam family: Eukaryotic small subunit ribosomal RNA (bases 1-46)
Source: RNAcentral